Molecule: ribosomal RNA, 450 nt
Filed under: uncultured Glomus
Lineage: Eukaryota; Fungi; Glomeromycota; Glomeromycetes; Glomerales; Glomeraceae
Description: SSU rRNA
Rfam family: Eukaryotic small subunit ribosomal RNA
Source: RNAcentral
AGCAGCCGCGGUAAUUCCAGCUCCAAUAGCGUAUAUUAAAGUUGCUGCGGUUAAAAAGCUCGUAGUUGAAUUUCGGGACCAUCAUGUUGGUCGUGCCUCGGUACGUACUGGCAUUGUUGGUUUCUCCCUUCUGACGAACCAUGAUGUCAUUUAUUUGGUGUCGUGGGAAAUCAGGACUGUUACUUUGAAAAAUUAGAGUGUUUAAAGCAGGCUCACGCUUGAAUACAUUAGCAUGGAAUAAUGAAAUAGGACGUUUGAUUCUAUUUUGUUGGUUUCUAGGAUCGACGUAAUGAUUAAUAGGGAUAGUUGGGGGCAUUAGUAUUCAAUCGUCAGAGGUGAAAUUCUUGGAUUUAUUGAAGACUAACUACUGCGAAAGCAUUUGCCAAGGAUGUUUUCAUUAAUCAAGAACGAAAGUUAGGGGAUCGAAGACGAUCAGAUACCGUCGUAGUC